RNAcentral lists this ribosomal RNA (449 nucleotides) under uncultured bacterium. RNAcentral's name for it is "bacterial SSU rRNA". It matches the Rfam family "Bacterial small subunit ribosomal RNA", at positions 60 to 518 of the family's 1533-position model. The record is from RNAcentral.
AACGGAGUUUUAACGGAAGUUUCGGAUGGAAGUUAGAACUAGUGGCGGACGGGUGAGUAACGCGUGGGUAACCUGCCUCAUACGAGGGGGAUAACAGUUAGAAAUGACUGCUAACACCGCAUAAUAUAGCGAAACCGCAUGAUUUUGCUAUCAAAUAUUUAUAGGUAUGAGAUGGGCCCGCGUCUGAUUAGCUAGUUGGUGGGGUAAAGCCGUACCAAGGCGACGAUCAGUAGCCGGCUUGAGAGAGUGACCGGCCACAUUGGGACUGAGACACGGCCCAAACUCCUACGGGAGGCAGCAGUGGGGAAUAUUGGACAAUGGGGGAAACCCUGAUCCAGCGAACCGCCGCGUGAGUGAAGAAGUAUUUCGGUAUGUAAAGCUCUAUCAGCAGGGAAGAUAAUGACAGUACCUGACUAAGAAGCCCCGGCUAACUACGUGCCAGCCGCUGC